AGAGUUUGAUCAUGGCUCAGGAUGAACGCUGGCGGCGUGCCUAACACAUGCAAGUCGAACGAACCUAAUCUUCGGAAAGGGUUAGUGGCGCACGGGUGAGUAACACGUAGGUGACCUGCCCCGAAGUGGGGGAUAACUUCUCGAAAGAGAAGCUAAUACCGCAUAUGCUCAGCCAUUCAGUUGGUUGAGUAAAGCUCCGGCGCUUCGGGAGGGGCCUGCGUCCGAUUAGCUAGUUGGUGGGGUAAUGGCCUACCAAGGCGAUGAUCGGUAGCUGGUCUGAGAGGACGAUCAGCCACACUGGCACUGACACACGGGCCAGACUCCUACGGGAGGCAGCAGUGAGGAAUAUUGGUCAAUGGGCGAAAGCCUGAACCAGCAACGCCGCGUGAGGGAUGAAGGCCUUCGGGUCGUAAACCUCUUUUCUGGGAGAAGAGACAAGGACGGUAUCCCAGGAAUAAGUCUCGGCUAACUACGUGCCAGCAGCCGCGGUAAAACGUAGGAGGCAAGCGUUAUCCGGAUUUACUGGGCGUAAAGCGCACGCAGGCGGCUGCGUAAGUCGGACGUGAAAGCUCCUGGCUCAACUGGGAGAGGUCGUUCGAAACUGCGCGGCUUGAGGUUGGAAGAGGAGAGCGGAAUUCCCGGUGUAGUGGUGGAAUGCGUAGAUAUCGGGAGGAACACCAGUGGCGAAAGCGGCUCUCUGGUCCACACCUGACGCUCAGGUGCGAAAGCGUGGGUAGCGAACGGGAUUAGAUACCCCGGUAGUCCACGCUGUAAACGAUGCGAACUAGGUGUUGGUAGUAUUAAACCUAUCAGUGCCGAAGCUAACGCGAUAAGUUCGCCGCCUGGGGACUACGGCCGCAAGGCUAAAACUCAAAGGAAUUGACGGGGACCCGCACAAGCGGUGG
Molecule: ribosomal RNA, 905 nt
Filed under: uncultured bacterium
Lineage: Bacteria
Description: bacterial SSU rRNA
Rfam family: Bacterial small subunit ribosomal RNA
Source: RNAcentral